RNAcentral lists this ribosomal RNA (326 nucleotides) under uncultured eukaryote. RNAcentral describes it as "partial 18S ribosomal RNA". It matches the Rfam family "Eukaryotic small subunit ribosomal RNA", at positions 1470 to 1796 of the family's 1831-position model. The record is from RNAcentral.
CCCUUAGAUGUUCUGGGCCGCACGCGCGCUACACUGAUGAAUUCAACGAGCACUAGCCUGUGCAGAAAUGUUCGGGUAAUCUUGUGAAAUUUCAUCGUGAUGGGGAUUGAUUAUUGCAAUUAUUAAUCAUAAACGAGGAAUGCCUAGUAAGCGUGAGUCAUCAGCUCACGUUGAUUACGUCCCUGCCCUUUGUACACACCGCCCGUCGCUCCUACCGAUUGAAUGUGCUGGUGAAAAGUUCGGAUUGGGAAUAGGAGACGGCAACGUAUCCUGUUUCUGAGAAAAUCUUUAAACCCUCCCAUUUAGAGGAAGGAGAAGUCGUAACA